CUGUUAUUGUCUUUGGUUGGCCAUAGCAAGUGUAUCUCUUUCAUAGUUUGUUGAUGAUGUUUAUCAGUUUGCGUCCUUGGCCUUUGGGAGUAUUAUUAUGUCUGGAGGGACUACUUUCUGGUUCCGGGUGAUAACAGUUGUUCUGUUUUAUUUGGCAACAUGGGAGCAAAAUCCCAACAAACAAGGUUACGCUGUUUGCAAUAAUAGUUUUUGCUAUUAUACCAACGAGCUUAUUCAACGUGUACAAUGUUUGUAAGGUUGUUCAAGCAUGGAAAGGAAGCAUGCUACUGGCGUUGGCAAUGCUUUACCCGUUUGUUGUGCUUGUGGGAGGAGUCCUGAUAUGGGAUUAUUUGUCUCCAUAUGAUUUAAUUGGGAACUAUCCACAUUUGGUUAUAGUGGGAACUGGAUUCGCGUUUGGGUUCCUUGUGGUAGGAU
Non-coding RNA from Camellia sinensis, 435 nucleotides. Lineage: Eukaryota; Viridiplantae; Streptophyta; Magnoliopsida; Ericales; Theaceae. The record is from RefSeq and is a predicted model, not a curated record.